RNAcentral lists this ribosomal RNA (252 nucleotides) under uncultured bacterium. RNAcentral describes it as "partial 16S ribosomal RNA". It matches the Rfam family "Bacterial small subunit ribosomal RNA", at positions 524 to 776 of the family's 1533-position model. The record is from RNAcentral.
UACGUAGGGGGCAAGCGUUGUCCGGAAUUAUUGGGCGUAAAGCGCGCGCAGGCGGUUUUUUAAGUCUGGGGUUUAACCUUGGGGCUCAACCCCAAGUCGCCCUGGAAACUGGGGAACUGGAGUGCAGGAGAGGAAAGUGGAAUUCCACGUGUAGCGGUGAAAUGCGUAGAGAUGUGGAGGAACACCAGUGGCGAAGGCGACUUUCUGGCCUGUAACUGACGCUGAGGCGCGAAAGCGUGGGGAGCAAACAGG